UACAGAGGGGGCAAGCGUUGUUCGGAAUUACUGGGCGUAAAGGGCGCGUAGGCGGCCUGCUAAGUCAUACGUGAAAUCCCAUGGCUCAACCAUGGAACUGCGUGUGAUACUGGCGGGCUUGAAUUCGGGAGAGGGAUGCGGAAUUCCAGGUGUAGCGGUGAAAUGCGCAGAUAUCAGGAGGAACGCCAAUUGCGAAGGCAGCUCGCUGGGACGUAACUGACGCUGAGACGCGAAAGCGUGGGGAGCAAACAGG
This 253-nucleotide ribosomal RNA is filed under the name uncultured bacterium. RNAcentral describes it as "partial 16S ribosomal RNA". It matches the Rfam family "Bacterial small subunit ribosomal RNA", at positions 524 to 776 of the family's 1533-position model. The record is from RNAcentral.